Biomphalaria glabrata is the source of this 888-nucleotide long non-coding RNA. RefSeq lists it as uncharacterized. The transcript is spliced from 3 exons. The record is from RefSeq and is a predicted model, not a curated record. Lineage: Eukaryota; Metazoa; Mollusca; Gastropoda; Planorbidae.
UUCAUCCUUAGUCACCUUGCUUUUAGAGGUUAUGUUACUUAAGUUAGAUGUGUCUAUUUCAGCUAUCAUCAACUAUUGGCAUCAGCUAUUUGAAUCAGCCUUGUACAGUUAGACUCAGCUAUUUGAAUCAGCCUUGUACAGUUAGACUCAGCUAUUUGAAUCAGCCUUGAACAGUUAGACUCAGCUAUUUGAAUCAGCCUUGAACAGUUAGACUCAGCUAUUUGAAUCAGCCUUGAACAGUUAGACUCAGCUAUUGGCUGUCACGAUGAGCUAUUUGCAACUAGCAUAAGCUAUUUCUUUGUUAUCCUCGGCUCCCUUGAUGUGAUCACAUUGAACAGUAAAAUGUUGCUAUGUUGAAGUAACCAACAGCUAACUUUACGCAUCACAAUUAUUUGGGUUUCAUUUCUUCUGUUCAUUUUUUUGUCCCGAAACGAUGUACAGUUGAUUACUCUGGAGAUGUCUGGGUUUCUUGUGCGGGUGUAUUGAAAUGAGACUAACUAACAAGAACAUAGACUCACACAAAUAACAAGUGAAGAAACUAAGUCCAAACAGAGGAAAACGGUGACUGUGGGCGUUUUACCAUCAUGAGCCUCUCUAGAAAUGUAGGCUGCUUUGUUUCGUUCAAAUAAUGAAAUUCAAUUACCUAUCAGUUCAACAGAGAAGAUUGUUGAACAAAAAAAAGGGGGUGGGGGCAAGAUAGGUAUGAGUCCUGUGGUACGUUAGUUGUAGUAGUAUAAGCAAUUCUAGCGGAAAGCUCACAGAGACAUUUCAAGAGAAAUCUCAUGACAUGAUGUGCACGGACCCAAGGGAUGGAAUUGACUCUUCAUUGAUCUCAGACACAGACAACUUGUUACACUACAUUUUAGAACACUAAGACUUGUCCAAUAA